Long non-coding RNA from Andrographis paniculata, 368 nucleotides. RefSeq lists it as uncharacterized. The record is from RefSeq and is a predicted model, not a curated record. The transcript is spliced from 4 exons. Lineage: Eukaryota; Viridiplantae; Streptophyta; Magnoliopsida; Lamiales; Acanthaceae.
AGACGGAACAACCUUCUCAUUCCGAGCCUGCAAGAGAUGAUCAGCCUCGGAGUUUGAAUCCUAAAAACGAAAAAAAUUUUGAAGGGGUGCGUGUGGAGGAUUAUGGGAAGGAAUUAAUUAAUGCAAGAAUUAUGGUUUGGUGGCCGUUGGACAGAACGUUUUACACCGGCACUGUCGUGUCGUAUGAUCCUGAACAGAAAAAGCACAUGGUUCUCUACGAUGAUGACGAUGAGGAGACGCUGGACCUAAAGAAUGAAAGAUGGGAAUUCUUUAAAGAAAGACAUUAAGCAUUUUCUUGGCAUCCUAAAGCUUUCUGGGAACUGCGUCCAUUUUAGACGCAACAGGCUCCAGCCAACAACGCCCAUGCC